This 1542-nucleotide ribosomal RNA is filed under the name Escherichia coli. Its description in RNAcentral is "partial 23S ribosomal RNA". It matches the Rfam family "Bacterial large subunit ribosomal RNA", at positions 339 to 1869 of the family's 2925-position model. Lineage: Bacteria; Pseudomonadati; Pseudomonadota; Gammaproteobacteria; Enterobacterales; Enterobacteriaceae. The record is from RNAcentral.
CGUCUGGAAAGGCGCGUGAUACAGGGUGACAGCCCCGUACACAAAAAUGCACAUGCUGUGAGCUCGAUGAGUAGGGCGGGACACGUGGUAUCCUGUCUGAAUAUGGGGGGACCAUCCUCCAAGGCUAAAUACUCCUGACUGACCGAUAGUGAACCAGUACCGUGAGGGAAAGGCGAAAAGAACCCCGGCGAGGGGAGUGAAAAAGAACCUGAAACCGUGUACGUACAAGCAGUGGGAGCACGCUUAGGCGUGUGACUGCGUACCUUUUGUAUAAUGGGUCAGCGACUUAUAUUCUGUAGCAAGGUUAACCGAAUAGGGGAGCCGAAGGGAAACCGAGUCUUAACUGGGCGUUAAGUUGCAGGGUAUAGACCCGAAACCCGGUGAUCUAGCCAUGGGCAGGUUGAAGGUUGGGUAACACUAACUGGAGGACCGAACCGACUAAUGUUGAAAAAUUAGCGGAUGACUUGUGGCUGGGGGUGAAAGGCCAAUCAAACCGGGAGAUAGCUGGUUCUCCCCGAAAGCUAUUUAGGUAGCGCCUCGUGAAUUCAUCUCCGGGGGUAGAGCACUGUUUCGGCAAGGGGGUCAUCCCGACUUACCAACCCGAUGCAAACUGCGAAUACCGGAGAAUGUUAUCACGGGAGACACACGGCGGGUGCUAACGUCCGUCGUGAAGAGGGAAACAACCCAGACCGCCAGCUAAGGUCCCAAAGUCAUGGUUAAGUGGGAAACGAUGUGGGAAGGCCCAGACAGCCAGGAUGUUGGCUUAGAAGCAGCCAUCAUUUAAAGAAAGCGUAAUAGCUCACUGGUCGAGUCGGCCUGCGCGGAAGAUGUAACGGGGCUAAACCAUGCACCGAAGCUGCGGCAGCGACGCUUAUGCGUUGUUGGGUAGGGGAGCGUUCUGUAAGCCUGUGAAGGUGUACUGUGAGGUAUGCUGGAGGUAUCAGAAGUGCGAAUGCUGACAUAAGUAACGAUAAAGCGGGUGAAAAGCCCGCUCGCCGGAAGACCAAGGGUUCCUGUCCAACGUUAAUCGGGGCAGGGUGAGUCGACCCCUAAGGCGAGGCCGAAAGGCGUAGUCGAUGGGAAACAGGUUAAUAUUCCUGUACUUGGUGUUACUGCGAAGGGGGGACGGAGAAGGCUAUGUUGGCCGGGCGACGGUUGUCCCGGUUUAAGCGUGUAGGCUGGUUUUCCAGGCAAAUCCGGAAAAUCAAGGCUGAGGCGUGAUGACGAGGCACUACGGUGCUGAAGCAACAAAUGCCCUGCUUCCAGGAAAAGCCUCUAAGCAUCAGGUAACAUCAAAUCGUACCCCAAACCGACACAGGUGGUCAGGUAGAGAAUACCAAGGCGCUUGAGAGAACUCGGGUGAAGGAACUAGGCAAAAUGGUGCCGUAACUUCGGGAGAAGGCACGCUGAUAUGUAGGUGAAGUCCCUCGCGGAUGGAGCUGAAAUCAGUCGAAGAUACCAGCUGGCUGCAACUGUUUAUUAAAAACACAGCACUGUGCAAACACGAAAGUGGACGUAUACGGUGUGACGCCUGCCCGGUGC